Molecule: unclassified non-coding RNA, 348 nt
Filed under: soil metagenome
Description: partial contains 5.8S ribosomal RNA, internal transcribed spacer 2, and large subunit ribosomal RNA
Rfam family: 5.8S ribosomal RNA (bases 1-120)
Source: RNAcentral
GAUGAAGAACGUAGCAAAAUGCGAUAAGUAAUGUGAAUUGCAGAAUUCAGUGAAUCAUCGAAUCUUUGAACGCACAUUGCGCCCGCUGGUAUUCCGGCGGGCAUGCCUGUUCGAGCGUCAUUUCAACCCUCAAGCCCCCGGGUUUGGUGUUGGGGAUCGGCUCUGCCCUUCUGGGCGGUGCCGCCCCCGAAAUACAUUGGCGGUCUCGCUGCAGCCUCCAUUGCGUAGUAGCUAACACCUCGCAACUGGAACGCGGCGCGGCCAUGCCGCAAAACCCCAACUUCUGAAUGUUGACCUCGGAUCAGGUAGGAAUACCCGCUGAACUUAAGCAUAUCAAUAAGCGGAGGA